AUUGAACGCUGGCGGCAUGCUUUACACAUGCAAGUCGAACGGUAACAGCACUUCGGUGGCUGACGAGUGGCGAACGGGUGAGUAAUACAUCGGAACGUGCCUAGUAGUGGGGGAUAACUACUCGAAAGAGUAGCUAAUACCGCAUGAGAUCUAAGGAUGAAAGCAGGGGACCUUCGGGCCUUGCGCUACUAGAGCGGCUGAUGGCAGAUUAGGUAGUUGGUGGGAUAAAAGCUUACCAAGCCGACGAUCUGUAGCUGGUCUGAGAGGACGACCAGCCACACUGGGACUGGGACACGGCCCAGACUCCUACGGGAGGCAGCAGUGGGGAAUUUUGGGCAAUGGGCGCAAGCCUGAUCCAGCAAUGCCGCUGCAGGAUGAAGGCCUUCGGGUUGUAAACUGCUUUUGUACGGAACGAAAGGCCCUCUUCUAAUACAGGAGGGUCAUGACGGUACCGUAAGAAUAAGCACCGGCUAACUACGUG
This 481-nucleotide ribosomal RNA is filed under the name uncultured bacterium. RNAcentral's name for it is "partial 16S ribosomal RNA". It matches the Rfam family "Bacterial small subunit ribosomal RNA", at positions 30 to 507 of the family's 1533-position model. The record is from RNAcentral.